AAAAGCUUCAAACUGGGAUUAGAUACCCCACUAUGCCCGGCUGUAACACAACAAUUAAACAACCAAUUGUUCGCCAAAUAACUACGAGUAUAAACUUAAAAUUUAAAAGACUUGACGGUACUUCAUAACAACCUAGAGGAGCCUGUCUAAUAACCGAUACCCCACGAUUAACCCAACCCGACCUAGCCUAAAGCCAGCCUAUAUACCGCCGUCGCCAGCCCACCUUGUGAAAGAAACAAAGUGAACAAAAUAAGCCACCCCUUAACACGACAGGUCGAGGUGUAGCUAACGGACGGGUAAAAGAUGGGCUACAUUUUCUCACGCAGAAAAUACGAAUAAACCAUGAAACUAGAAACUGAAGGCGGAUUUAGCAGUAUGAUAAGAAUAGAAUCCUUAAUAGAAACCAACGCAAUGAAGUGUGUACACACCGCCCGUCACCC
This 440-nucleotide ribosomal RNA is filed under the name Paikwaophis kruki. Its description in RNAcentral is "partial small subunit ribosomal RNA". The record is from RNAcentral. Lineage: Eukaryota; Metazoa; Chordata; Lepidosauria; Squamata; Dipsadidae.